This 460-nucleotide ribosomal RNA is filed under the name uncultured bacterium. Its description in RNAcentral is "partial 16S ribosomal RNA". It matches the Rfam family "Bacterial small subunit ribosomal RNA", at positions 338 to 795 of the family's 1533-position model. The record is from RNAcentral.
CCUACGGGUGGCAGCAGUGAGGAAUAUUGGUCAAUGGACGCAAGUCUGAACCAGCCAUGCCGCGUGCAGGAAGACGGCUCUAUGAGUUGUAAACUGCUGUUGUACGAGGGUAAACGCAGAUACGCGUAUCUGUCUGAAAGUAUAGUACGAAUAAGGAUCGGCGAACUCCGUGACAGCAGCCGCGGUAAUACGGAGGAUUCAAGCGUUAUACGGAUUUAUUGGGUUUAAAGGGUGCGUAGGCGGUCGGAUAAGUUAGAGUUGAAAUCCCGAGGCUCAACUUCGGAAUUGCCUCUGAUACUGUUCGGCUAGGGAGUAGUUGCGGUAGGAGGAAUGUAUGGUGUAGCGGUGAAAUGCAUAGAUAUCACGCAGAACUCCGAUUGCGAAGGCAGCAUACCGGCGCCCGACUGACGCUGAGGCACGAAAGCGUGGGGAUCGAACAGGAUUAGAUACCCUUGUAGUC